UACGUAGGGUGCGAGCGUUAUCCGGAAUUAUUGGGCGUAAAGAGCUCGUAGGCGGUUUUGUCGCGUCUGUCGUGAAAGUCCGGGGCUUAACCCCGGAUCUGCGGUGGGUACGGGCAGACUAGAGUGCAGUAGGGGAGACUGGAAUUCCUGGUGUAGCGGUGGAAUGCGCAGAUAUCAGGAGGAACACGGAUGGCGAAGGCAGGUCUCUGGGCUGUAACUGACGCUGAGGAGCGAAAGCAUGGGGAGCGAACAGG
Molecule: ribosomal RNA, 254 nt
Filed under: uncultured bacterium
Lineage: Bacteria
Description: partial 16S ribosomal RNA
Rfam family: Bacterial small subunit ribosomal RNA
Source: RNAcentral